GCGUUCUUUUUUCAUGAUGUUCGGAGACCUUUUUUUGCUCUUCUUUUGCAUGGCUCUUUUUAUGGGAAAAACACCUUUACCCCACUGUGGUUGUAGCGUUUUAAGCAAUUAGCCACUGUGCUUUUAAAAUAUUCAAUUAGCCCACUGUACUUUUUAAAAAUGUUCAAUUAAGCAAUUUCGUCCAAUUUUGCUAACGGACUUUAAAAAAUUGGGGAAAAAAAACACCUUUACCCCACUGUGACGCCCCCAAAAUAGGUAUACAACAUCCAUUCUGAGUCGCCAAAUACAUGGUACAGAAAGAAAACUACAACUCCAUUAUUACAAUUAUCGAUCGUGCAAAAUACGACAACACAUACUGUGAGUUUAAAUACAAAUAUUGUCUUCUAGACAAUAUGCACACCCAAAUAAGUCCUCAUUACAUUUAUUAAUACAUUAUUUUACAAAAUAGUGAGGACUACUAAAAUAGCUAUCUUGAAUCAUCACUCCAUACCCCGGCUAGUC
Molecule: long non-coding RNA, 501 nt
Filed under: Panax ginseng (ginseng)
Lineage: Eukaryota; Viridiplantae; Streptophyta; Magnoliopsida; Apiales; Araliaceae
Description: long non-coding RNA (PGIN_LNC010516)
Source: RNAcentral